RNAcentral lists this ribosomal RNA (301 nucleotides) under uncultured bacterium. Its description in RNAcentral is "partial 16S ribosomal RNA". It matches the Rfam family "Bacterial small subunit ribosomal RNA", at positions 509 to 809 of the family's 1533-position model. The record is from RNAcentral.
CAGUAGCCGCGGGAAUACGGAGGGAGCUAGCGUUGUUCGGAAUUACUGGGCGUAAAGCGCACGUAGGCGGCUAUUCAAGUCAGGGGUGAAAGCCCGGGGCUCAACCCCGGAACUGCCUUUGAAACUAGAUAGCUUGAAUCUUGGAGAGGCGAGUGGAAUUCCGAGUGUAGAGGUGAAAUUCGUAGAUAUUCGGAAGAACACCAGUGGCGAAGGCGGCUCACUGGACUGGUAUUGACGCUGAGGUGUGAAAGCGUGGGGAGCAAACAGGAUUAGAUACCCGGGUAGUCCCUGUCUCUUAUAA